RNAcentral lists this ribosomal RNA (252 nucleotides) under uncultured bacterium. Its description in RNAcentral is "partial 16S ribosomal RNA". It matches the Rfam family "Bacterial small subunit ribosomal RNA", at positions 524 to 776 of the family's 1533-position model. The record is from RNAcentral.
UACGAAGGUCCCAAGCGUUAUCCGGAUUUAUUGGGUUUAAAGGGUGCGUAGGCGGGCUAUUAAGUCAGUGGUGAAAGCCCCAAGCUUAACUUGGGAACUGCCAUUGAUACUGAUGGUCUUGAGUACAUUUGAGGUGGGCGGAAUGUGUCAUGUAGCGGUGAAAUGCUUAGAUAUGACACAGAACACCGAUUGCGAAGGCAGCUCACUAACUGUAACUGACGCUGAGGCACGAAAGCGUGGGGAGCAAACAGG